UACGUAGGGGGAGAGCGUUGUCCGGAAUUACUGGGCGUAAAGGGUGCGUAGGCGGCAGCUUAAGUUGGAUGUGAAAUACCCGGGCUUAACUUGGGGGGUGCAUUCAAAACUGGGCAGCUAGAGUGCUGGAGAGGGAAGCGGAAUUCCUAGUGUAGCGGUGAAAUGCGUAGAUAUUAGGAGGAACACCAGUGGCGAAGGCGGCUUUCUGGACUGUAACUGACGCUGAGGCACGAAAGCGUGGGGAGCAAAC
RNAcentral lists this ribosomal RNA (250 nucleotides) under uncultured prokaryote. RNAcentral describes it as "partial 16S ribosomal RNA". It matches the Rfam family "Bacterial small subunit ribosomal RNA", at positions 524 to 773 of the family's 1533-position model. The record is from RNAcentral.